GAUGAACGCUGGCGGCGUGCCUAAUACAUGCAAGUCGAGCGAACGGACGAGAAGCUUGCUUCUCUGAUGUUAGCGGCGGACGGGUGAGUAACACGUGGAUAACCUACCUAUAAGACUGGGAUAACUUCGGGAAACCGGAGCUAAUACCGGAUAAUAUUUUGAACCGCAUGGUUCAAAAGUGAAAGACGGUCUUGCUGUCACUUAUAGAUGGAUCCGCGCUGCAUUAGCUAGUUGGUAAGGUAACGGCUUACCAAGGCAACGAUGCAUAGCCGACCCGAGAGGGUGAUCGGCCACACUGGAACUGAGACACGGUCCAGACUCCUACGGGAGGCAGCAGUAGGGAAUCUUCCGCAAUGGGCGAAAGCCUGACGGAGCAACGCCGCGUGAGUGAUGAAGGUCUUCGGAUCGUAAAGCUCUGUUAUUAGGGAAGAACAUAUGUGUAAGUAACUGUGCACAUCUUGACGGUACCUAAUCAGAAAGCCACGGCUAACUACGUG
Molecule: ribosomal RNA, 497 nt
Filed under: uncultured bacterium
Lineage: Bacteria
Description: partial 16S ribosomal RNA
Rfam family: Bacterial small subunit ribosomal RNA
Source: RNAcentral